RNAcentral lists this long non-coding RNA (11346 nucleotides) under Erythranthe guttata (spotted monkey flower). RNAcentral's name for it is "long non-coding RNA (EGUT_LNC001261)". The record is from RNAcentral. Lineage: Eukaryota; Viridiplantae; Streptophyta; Magnoliopsida; Lamiales; Phrymaceae.
GCGGCUGCGCGGCGGAGACGCUCGCCAAAGGGGGUAUCGAGACGUUCCUCAUCGAGCGGAAGAUGGACAACUGCAAGCCCUGCGGCGGCGCAAUCCCGCUCUGCAUGGUCGGAGAAUUCGACCUCCCGCUCGACAUCAUCGACCGGAGGGUGACCAAGAUGAAGAUGAUCUCGCCGUCGAAUGUGGCCGUCGACAUCGGCAGAACCCUGAAGCCGCAUGAGUACAUCGGGAUGGUCCGCCGCGAGGUCCUCGACGCCUACCUCCGGGAGCGCGCCUCCACCGCCGGCGCCACCGUGAUCAACGGCCUCUUCCUGAAGAUGGACCUCCCCCAGUCGAAGAACGCGCCGUACGUCCUCCACUACAGCGACUACAACACCAAGACCGGCGCCGCCGGCGAGAAGAAAACCCUCGAAGUCGACGCCAUCGUCGGCGCCGACGGCGCCAACUCCCGCGUCGCCAAGGGAAUCGGCGCCGGCGACUACGAGUACGCCAUCGCCUUCCAGGAGCGAAUCAAGAUCUCCGACGACAAGAUGAAGUACUACGAGGACCUGGCCGAGAUGUACGUCGGCGAUGACGUGUCACCCGAUUUCUACGGGUGGGUGUUCCCCAAGUGCGACCACGUGGCAGUCGGAACCGGCACGGUGACCCACAAGGGGGACAUCAAGAAGUUCCAAACCGCGACCCGGCUCCGCGCCCGCGACAAGAUCGAGGGCGGGAAGAUCAUCCGGGUCGAGGCCCACCCGAUCCCGGAGCACCCGCGGCCGAGGCGGGUACUCGACAGGGUGGCACUUGUCGGGGACGCCGCCGGGUACGUCACCAAGUGCUCCGGGGAGGGGAUCUACUUCGCGGCCAAGAGCGGGCGGAUGUGCGCCGAGGCGAUCGUCGAGGGGUCCGAAAACGGGAAGCGGAUGGUGGACGAGAGCGAUCUCCGGGUUUACCUCCAGAAGUGGGACAAAACGUACUGGCCGACGUACAAAGUUCUUGAUAUUCUGCAGAAGGUGUUCUACAGAUCAGAUCCCGCGAGGGAGGCAUUCGUCGAGAUGUGCGCCGACGAGUACGUGCAGAGGAUGACGUUUGAUAGCUACUUGUACAAACGGGUCGUGCCCGGCAACCCGCUGGAGGAUUUGAAGCUGGCUGUGAAUACGAUCGGGAGCCUUGUGAGGGCGAAUGCGCUGAGGAAGGAGAUGGAGAAGCUUAGCGUAUGAUUCAACGGGUCGGGUUGGGAUCGGGAUCCGGUUGGAGGAUGGUGUGUUGUGUGAUUUUGUGCUCUUUGUUUGUGGGAGGGAUUUUAUUUGAAUUUGUACUGAGGAAAGAUUUAUAUAUAUAUGUUAAUUAGACCCUACCUCUAUGUAUAAGAUAUUUAUUUUUUGUUGUAAUUGAAUGGAAGCUUUUGUAAAACACAAAGCUGUGUUAAUUAGAAUUAAUAAUGGAAUUCACUUUUCUAAUCUUCAAGGGGACCAUUUACCGCUUUAAUGCACCCUCGCUGUAUUCGUUGUAAGAACGAGCCAUCGUGGAUUUACGUGCAGAGGUUCGAUGCCGCCACCAUGGAGGUUCCCAUCCCCACAAAAAAGUUGCACAUUAUCGCCCUGCCCUGAACUCAAGGUCUGAGGAUGGGGGAGUUCUUCGACUCCAUCUCGUAGAAAGCCUCAACUUGAUUCAACGAGCUGCAGAAAAGAGUUAAAAAGUACAUCGAUAUGGAGGAAUCGGGCUCAGGAUCUAGGACCCUCGGCGGAUAAACGAAGAGAUAAUAAGCCAAAAAAUAGAACUCCAAGAAUGUAAACCCUGAGAAGCGCACAUGCCCACAAUUCGAAAUGUACGCACCCCUCAACAUCCAUUAGUAGCUAUCACGAAUCAUCUCUAAAGCUCAAAUGGCCUCGUAUUUACUCUGCAGUACGAAAGAGGCCACCAGCACAGUAGUCUAUUGCCGUUUUGGUUUUCACAACGACCACAAACACUCUCUGACUAAUGACAACGUCUAUGUGACGAGAUUGGGAGGCUAAUCAGAGCAAAAAACCUACCGAAAUUCGAUUAGAAAUGGCUGACAUCAGGCCCCAAAGUGUCAUAGACACAUAUCGAUAUUACCUUAGGUAGUCGUUGUUGACUAGACUCGCAUGUUUUAUUCAUAGUCAAAUUGCAUAUGUAUGCAAUAGCUUGGUUUUGAAUAAUAUAUUUAUAAUACACGUGAAAUUGAGUUAUAAUUAAUUUAGCAGGCUAAUGAUCAAAGGCUUGCAUAACUGAAGUUUAAUUGGGUCAUAAAUCAACAUAUAGGGGAGAGAUAAAAUCCCAUGUUGUUACAGAUAAUGUAUUGGUGGCUUAUGAGAUUAAUCACUUCAUUAAAACUAACUCUCGAAAACGCUCUAAUCUUAUGGCUAUGAAGUUAUUAGUAAAGCAUAUGAUCGCAUUGAGUGGUUUUUCUUGAGAAAGAUUAUGUGUAGGUUCGGUUUCCCUGUUGGUUUAAUUGAUCUGAUUAUGCUAUGUGUUUCGACGGUUUCUUACGCGUGUUUGUUCAAUGGGUCGCAGUGUGGUUCGAUAGUCCCUUCGCGGGGCUUAGGCAAGGCGACCCCCUUUCGCCAUAUCUUUUCAUUCUUUGUACAGAGGCGCUUAUAGCAAUGGUGCAACGGGAGAAGGAAAGCGGGCGAUUGCAAGGAUUCCGAGUAGCUCCGACCGCUCCAAUGGUCUCGAGUUUGUGUUUCGAGGAUGAUACACUGAUUUUUUGCCAAGCAAACGAGGAUAAUGCUGGGACAAUCCAACAAAUUCUUCUCCAAUAUGCACGUGUUUCUGGCCAGAUGAUUAACAUGGAGAAAUCGACAAUUAGUUUAUGUCCAGCUACACCACCGGAGACCCGCGAAUCUAUACAUGCUAUCUUGGGCUUCCAGGUUGUGGUAAGUGAUGAAAAAUAUUUAGGGCUUCCGGCGGCUUUGGGGAAAAUGCGCAAGGAGGUUUUCCAAUACCUGAGAGAUAGGAUAUGGGACUGAUAAAGGGAUCUCUAAGGCGGGGAAAGAAAUCCUAAUCAAGGCGGUCCUACAGGCAAUCCCAUCGUAUGUUAUGUCUUGCUUUCUACUGCCGAUUGGUUUGGUUAAGGAGAUUGAAGCCAUUAUGCGUCGUUUUUGGUGGGGGAAUGGCAUGGAUAAAACGACGCAUUGGGUUGCAUGGAAGAAACUAUGCAAACCGAAGGAAGAUGGGGGCAUGGGGUUUCGGGAUCUUCGGAGUUUUAAUCUCGCUCUGCUGGCGAAACGAGGCUGGCGACUUGUUACCAAGCCGGAGCUCUUACUGUCAAAGAUUAUGCAAGCUAGGUACUACCAUAAUGAGGAUUUAUGGGCUGCGGUUGUGGGCCAUCGCCCGUCGGCCACAUGGCGAGCCAUUGUUGAGGCCCGCGGCCAUUUGAAAGAAGGUGUUCGGAUGCGAAUUGGGGAUGGUACGAAUACAUCGGUGUGGUGCGACCCGUGGAUUCUCCAUGAUAACUACCCUAAGAUUAUCACUCCAAUGCCCGUGCACUCGGCUUUCCCUAAUUCGGUAGCGGACCUUAUUGACAGAAAUACGGGUUCAUGGAAGACUGAGGUUCUUGAUAAUAUUUUCUGGCCGGUGGACAAGCAACGCAUUCUUACUACUCCUAUUGGAGGUGCGGGAACGGCUGAUCGAAUUAUAUGGGGUUUCUCGAAUUUGGGUAAUUUUACGGUUAAAAGUUGCUAUCAUAACAUAAUGAGUCGCCACAGUUUGCGAGUUGGAGAUGGCUCGGUCGGCUCAAAUAGUGGAUCGCACUCUUACAACUGGAAAUAGCUUUGGAAACUCGACGUGCCACCAAAAAUUCGGGUAUUCUUAUGGAGAGCAUGCAUGGAAGCUUUACCGUGUAAAGUUGAAUUGUUUCGGCGGAGGAUUGUCUCGGACCCGUUGUACGAUAUUUGUGGAAUAGAAUCCGAUUCCUUGCCGCAUAUUUUCUUUCACUGUCAUGGAGUUAGGCAGGUGUGGGAACAUCUACCAAUUUCUCUAACCACUAGCGACAUGAAUCCCUCGGUUUGGAGCUGGGUGAGCAGAUUGGCUCGAGACCUUUCAGUAGAACAGUUUCACCUGGCUACAGUGGUUCUUUGGAGCUUUUGGGAUUGCCGGAAUAAGCUGUUGCAUGGUGAUGAAUAUCGGGCAUUUGGGGAAAUUGUGGGAUGGAGCACCAUGCACGUACAUGGAAUCAUAUCGUGAAGCUCGUUUGAGUCGUAGCGUCGUCGACAAGCGGUCCCAGGCCAUCUUGUGGUCUCCACCACCAAUAGGGGUGAUUAAAGUUAACAUUGACGCAACUUUUCCGCAAGGUAAUGAUCACUAUUACACAUCUGUGAUUGCUAGAGAUUCACAAGGUCAAAGUGUGUGGUGGCAGAAUUUUCGGCACCUUGGUCGCGUGUUACCUGCCGAGGGGGAAGCUCGGGCUGUUUUGCAAGCUACUAUUAUGGCGUUAAGCUUCACAUGGUCUGAUAUUAUUAUUGAGGGUGACUGUCUCCCACUGAUCGAUGCGCUUAAUGGUCGAGGUUCUUCACUUACUUCAUUCGGCGCUAUUAUUGAGGCGGUUUUAGCUCGCUCUUGUCUCUUCUUUUCUAUUUCCUUUUCUUUUGUAAAGCGUUAUGCCAAUAAACUAGCUCACGAAAUUGCUUCGCGUGAUAAUUAGGAUUCAUUGGAAGGUGUAACCCUCCGUCCGUUUCUGGCUAUGAGUACCUCAUAUAAUUGUGUUUUUCCCGUAAAAAAAAAAAUAAAAUCCUAUGCUUGUUUUUAUAUGAUAAUGUUCCUAAUUUAAUUUGCCUUCUUAGUUAAUGUGCUUAAUUUGGUCUAAUUGCACGGAACCCCCUGUGUAACUUCGAAUGGCUAAAAAAUUCACUGUGUUAAAAAAUUUAGCAAAGACUUCCCUAUAUUUUAUUUUGCUAAGCACACAGCCCCAUACUUUGCAAUUGAGUGUUGACUUACAUGAAAAGACAUACCUACCCCUAGUUAGAAUAAAGCAAACACCCCAAACCCAAAAGCGUAUACAGUACAAGAAAAUCGAAGAAGAAGUUUGAAAAAUCUUCCUUUGGUGGCGGUAGAGUUGAAGAUGACUGGGGGUGUGCACGGGUCGGUACGGCUCGGUUUUUCUAAUAAACCAAACACGUACCAAUAAUAUCGGUUUUUCAUAUUUUUUAAACCGAAUAUGCCGGUUUUUUUGGGUUUGGUGUUCAUCGGUUUUUUGGUUUUCGGUUAAUGGUUUCGGUAUCAAUUCGGUUUAUUUUCUGUGUCGAUUUCGUCUAUUUGUUCGAAUGGGUUCCGCCUAAAACAGGUAUAUUUGGACUUUCAUUAUAUUUAUUUGAGAAAAUUAACAAAUAACAACCGAAAAUUAACUAAUAAAAAACAUGUCACAAUCCAAAAUUAAUUAAUAGAAAAACAUGUCACAUGGAGGCUCUCGAAAGAUAGAGGCACGCUAGGGUAAGUAUUUAUACUAUAUAUCAAAAAGACAUCAUUUUGUAUAAAUUGGUUCGGUUCGGGAAAUCGGUUUGGUAAUUUUUUUAUUCUCCAUACACAAACCGAUAUUUUCGGUUCUGGAAAACAAUUUACCGUAUGUGCGGUUUUAAGUCGAAACGGUACAUAACGGCUCGAUUUUUUUGGUUUUUGGUUCGGUUUUUCGGUUUCUCGGUUUUUUUCUCACACCUAAAGAUGACCACAUCAAGAACUAAGAACAAAGGGAAGAUAGCUUUUGUUAGUUUUGAGACAAAUUUUUUAGUUCUUUAAUUUCAUGUGGCCUCUUUUGUUUAGUGAGAAAAAUGGGAAAAGGAAAAAAAUAAAAAACAAAAAAAGACUGAUUUUUUUAUGUGGGUUUUUUAAUGAUUUGGAGGAUGAGAAGAGGCCCCGUACUCUAAUGCUGGGUCUUACUCUUUGUUCAAAGAGUUGCUACUCUCUCUCUCCCCACACAUACACACAAAUAUACAGUUUGUAAUGGAAUUGCAAAUUAAUUUCAUUUUAGCUUUGCUUCAAAAACUUGUUGGGUGCUAAAUACCAAUACGCAAGUGUACGUAUCGCAAACAAGUAGUAAAGUAGACUCGUGAGAGUCGGAUGUCGAUCCCACAGGGAAUACGCAAAUUAUUUAAUCAUAAGUACCAAAUCCUAACAAUUGUGAUUUUUAUCCAGCCUACGCAGGGUUGUCAAAUUAAUUAACUAAAUAACUUAAACUAAUUAAGAACGCAAGUAAUCACGAGAAAAAAUCAAUAAUAAACGGAUCUAGGAUUUUAUCUUCCCCCUAUGCGAUAAUUCUUCACCCAAUUAAUUUCCUAUCAUGCAAGUUACGAUUCCCGAUUAUUAACCCAAGACACGAAAUUAUUCAUAACCAGCUGUCGCUGCGCUAUAAACCUAUUAUUCAUAAAAGAUUCACUAUAUGUCUAUGCAAACCUAGUAUAAAUAAAGCAUUAAAUAGCAAGUCUCGCAAACGGCUACCUAAGGUAUUAUCUGUAUGUCUACGAUAAUACAUGCAAUUAACACACACAUUCGGUGAAAAACUACUCGAAGGCUCUUCUAUCCCUGUUCUAAUUAUUAAAACGAUCUGUCAAUCAAUUCUAACAAUAACAAAUAGCAACAUAAGUUAGCUACGCUCAUGCACUAAAUACGAUCAAGAUAGAAGAAAUAAUCGAAGAAUUAAACUUGCAUAAAAGUAGAAAAAUAGGUUCGAGUUACCACAUAGGGUUCCAAUAAAAUCCUAGAAUAAAAACUUAGCUACUCAUGUUCGCUACGAAAAGCAUAAUAAAAAUACGAAAAUUCAUAAAAAUCAAAAAAGAAAAGGAAAAAGGAAAACUAGGAUGAAGAGUCGUCAAGUCUUCGUCUUCGUUCUCUUGCUCCUUGAUUGCGUGUAGAAAAUAUAAAAAACUAAAAACUAAUAAUAACGAUAAAAGGUAAAAGAUAGAUCUAAUUGUGUGCUCUUGGCCUUUAAAUAGGGUGCAAAAAUAUAAUAGGGCGGGUUUCCUUGUGUAAUUAAAAUUCCUUCACUGCGCCUUCACGUCCACCCGGACGGCCGUGUGAGAUUUUGAACUAAAAUCCGCACGGCCGUGCGGUCUUUUAAUUCUCCAGAAUUCUGCUUUUUUCACUUUUGGCCCACUUUUUCUCCGAAAUUGCAGUUUUCACCCCAAAAGUUGCCAAUUCUUCAAUUUGCACCUAAAAUACAUAAUUAAUAACCAUAUUAAGCACCAAUUAUCGUAAAAACACAUCAAAAGCUCCAAUUAAAAGGUACAAUUAAGUGUAUAAAUAUACACUUAACACACCCCCAAACUUGAACUUUUGCUUGUCCUCAAGUAACAUCAAAUUAAUAGCACAAAACAAAACCAUACAUCUCAUUACAUAGAUCGAUGGGUCAACUUAGCGUUUUCAGAAUUUGCAAUUAUGAUGACAAUUCAUAGGUAUUCGCAAGCUUAACAUUCAACGGCACUUAGUCACUCACUAUUACCAAAAACCACAAAUCAUACAAUUGCUUCAAGUAUCCAAUAUUUGCAAGUUAAAGAUAGAAAGAAUUUAUACUUACAUGCAUAUAUUUGACUCCAAAUACUCACCAAAUUAUUUUACUCAACUAAUAUUGAACAAUAAGCUAUUGGGAUCAUUGGGGCUUUGUGGCUUUCAAUUGUUAGGCUCUUUGGUCCGAGGUAGGUAAUAUGGGAAUGUGUGGCUAAUUUUCUUGAAUUGAGGUGAUUACGCCAAAAUUUGAAAGAUAGGCGUUUGAAACAAUGAAUUCACCUCUAGGGACUUUAAUAAACUCGAUUCUCCAAAAUUCACACGUCAACACUUUUGCCUUGAGGCAAUGACUCGAGUUUUCAACACAAUUCAACAACUAGUCCUUAUUUCUCCCUUACAAUCUAUUCUUCUUCUUCUAUUUUUUUUUUUUUUCUUUUUUUUUUUUUUUUUUUUUUCGAAUCGAAGAAUUUAGAUAUAUAUAUGAAGAUGCACAUAUAUAUCUAUUUUUUUUUUUAUUUUUUUUUUUCGAAGAAGAAGAAGAAGAAAGAUCUUAUAAGAAUUUUUCGACCGACCUCCAAGGGAUGAUUAUUCAGAAAUCUCCACUUUUCUACCUUCUACAUAUUGGCUAAAAGAAAGAACACCUUUUCUCCGAGGCUCAAAUCAAGGUUCUAAGGAUAAUUUGACAAAAAUGGUAGGCUUGAAAGGCUCAAACGGUUCAAAGAAGGCCCAAAUCAUAUCCCAAAUCACUUAUUAUCAACACUUCGUAUCAUAAAUGUCCUAAGGUGAGAUUUAAAACCGAACAAAGCAUGAUUGAGCACAAAUACAUUCCAAAUUUAAAAUGCAAAACAUUCAACCAAAGCAAUGCACAAGGUGUGAUUCCUAGCAAUAAUUCACUUCUACGUUCCGUUGAAUCGAAAGCUAAACAAAUAUCUACUCCUUAUCAACAUAAAACAAGUAAUCUCAUCAUCAAACAUUGACCAUCUCCCAUCAUCAUAGUUCAUCGAUGUACCGAAAUUUAUUUAUUUAUUAUUAUUAUUUUUUUUUUUAAAUAAUAAAAAACGGCAACUAAAACAAAAACUAAAGCAUGCAAAAUAAUAAAAAAAUUAAAGCACAAAUAAAGCGCACAUAAAAUAAAACAAGUAGUUAACCACCCCCAAACUUAAAAUUCACAUUGCCCUCAAUGUGAUUCGCCCGGAGUUUAAGGAUAGAAAACACCUGUUUUUAAGCGUCGGGACCAUCGUCGGGUUGUUGGAAUUUGAUCGGUUUUCUUGCCCUUCCCUUUGCUCCUUGAAGUGCCUUCGCCUUGUGAGGUGCCCUCCCCGUCACGUCCUCGUUUCCCCAUGACUUGAGAAUGUGUGUAGAAGGGAUUAGGAGUGGAUUGAUGUGCAAAAUUUCCCCCAAACUUGACUUGGGCAAUUCGUCGAACACCUUGUGGGCGUUCUUGGUUGAAUGGAUUUUUGGAGAAAUUUGUACCUUUCUUGAACCCUCCCUGCACAAAUCAGCAACAAACAACCGAGAUAAGUAACAAUAUGUGUGUAGUUGGUGAAUUUUCGGUGAAAUUGUUCAAGAAAGUCGAAAAUUUUGAAAAGAGGGGGUUAGGGUUCGAAUUAGGGGAGAAGUGGGGAUUGGAAUUGUGAAAAUUGGGGUUUGGAAAACCCCUAUUUAAUAUGCCCGAAUUUUUUUUUUUUUUUUUUUUAUUAUUUUUUUUUUAUUUUUUUUUAUUUUUUUUUUCUUUCGCACGGCCGUGCGGGAUUUUGGCCUAAAAUCCGCACGGCCGUGCCAUUUUGCAUAUUUGGGCAGUAGCUGUUUCAAUUUUUGGACGGCCGUGCGAGAUUUUAGGGAAAAAUCCGCACGGCCGUCCCAUUUCCGGAUUUUAUACAGUAGCAUCCCCGAAAUUUCACACGGCCGUGUGAAAUUCCUCCCUUUUUCUUGCACGGCCGUGUGAAUAAUUGCAUUUAGGUCCCUGCAAAAUAAAAACUUCUUAUUAGUGCCCCUGAAACUUUUUUUUUUUUUUUUUUUUUAAAGCUGAAAUAAAAUAAGAACGAACACUAACAAGCUAAAUAAAUAAAAACAAAAAUAAUAAAAUUAAAAAAAAUAAAAUAAAAUAAAAGAAAGAAAAACGAAAGCUCGGGUUGCCUCCCGAGAAGCGCUAAGUUUACAGUCUUCAGCCGGACUUUGUCUGCUUCUUUGUUCAAGCUAUCGUGACCGAAGUCACUUGGCGAUUGAAUUCCUCUCCCCAAUAGUGCUCGUUCGGUUCUUUAGGUGGCCACAUCCACUUUGCACGUUCAUCAUGAUUAUCACCCCGACUCUUUUGACUGUCUCUCGGCGGAGUUGAAAUUGAGCUCGCACAAUAAACUUGCUCCGUCCGACUAUCUUUUCCGCCACCAUCUCCUGCACUCAAAGAUCCUUUCCCAGGGUCUAAGAUCAAAGCGUCAAAAUCGUCAUGAUUUGUAAAAUCCACAAGAUCUAUAGCAUAACAAUCAUUAUCAUCACUUGGAUUUUUAUAAGUGCUAAAAACGUUAAAUUUGACCGUUUGAUCAUGCACCGUCAUUGAAAGAUCACCACUAGCACAAUCAAUUAGAGUUUUUGACGUGGCUAAAAACGGUCUCCCUAAAAUAAGAGGUAUCUCCCUAUCUUCAUCUAUGUCAAGUAUAACGAAAUCAACAGGGAAGAUAAAUUUGUUCACUUUUACUAGCACAUUCUCUAAAAUACCUUUUGGGUAAACUAAAGAUCUAUCGGCUAAUUGAAGAGUUAUAGCCGUAGGUUCAAUUUCCCCUAACCCAAGAUUUUGAUAAGUCGAAUAAGGCAUAAGGUUAAUGCUAGCACCUAAAUCAAUGAGCGACCUAAAAUUUUUACCUCCUAUAGUACAAGGGAUAGUGAACUUACCUGGAUCGCCGAGUUUUUGUGGAAGAGGCCGUGUAAGGAUUGCACUACAUUGUUCCGUGAGUUGGAUCAUCUCGUUCCCUUGCAAUUUCUUCCUCUUUGUCACGAGAUCUUUGAGGAACUUCACCCACUUUGGCAUCUUUUGAAGGGCUUCAAUAAACGGGAUAUUUAUUUGGAUUUCCUUCAGCUUGUCCAAAAAUCUUUGAUACUCGGUAUCGAGCUUCUUCUUCAUAAGCUUCUGAGGAUAUGGAAUUGGAGGGGCUCGUGAUUUCACUGGAGAUGAUAGUGGUUCUUCGUGAGUCGCUUCUUUUUCCCCAAUCACGCUCGGCUUCUCGAUCACCGUGUUUUGCUUCUCUUUUCGUGGGGCUUCCUCCAAUUGUCUCCCAUUCCUUAAACUCACAGCGUUGCACUGCUCGACGUUGUUCUUCCGAGGAUCUUCCGUAUUCGACGGCAGUGCUCCCGAUGGCCUCGCGGUUAGCUGGGUUGCAAGUUGACCCAUUUGUGUUUCCAAAUUUCGGAUGGAGGCUUGGGUGGUUGUCAUGAAUUGCGCCAAAAUAUUUGCGAGAUCUACACCUUGAGGUUGAGCUUGAGGCGGAUUUUGGAAUCCGGGAGCUGGUCGUGAAUGAUUUGGCGGUUGACCUUGAGGUGUUGCUUGCCUUUGUCCUUGCUGAGUUCCUCCCCACCCAAAGUUAGGGUGAUCCUUCCAUCCCGGAUUAUAUGUGUUGGAGUACGGGUUCCUCUGUUGUCGGUUAGUGUCAUGCACAUAAUUCAGAGACUCCGUUUCUUCUACGCACUGGUCGGGAACUUGGACUGCGUGGACUUGCUGAGUCUGCAAAGCCGCUACUUGCUUCGAUAACUUCUCCAAUUGGGCCGUGAUUGCAGUGACUCCGUCUAACUCCAAAAUUCCUCCCGUCUUGAUUGCUCCGCUAUUCGACCGGUCCGAUGCUCGCAUGUAUUUAUUUCUAGCGAUUCGCUCUAAGAGUUCGUAUGCUUCGUCAUAGGUCAAACUCAUGAACAUACCUCCAG